Molecule: ribosomal RNA, 2732 nt
Filed under: Aphanomyces invadans
Lineage: Eukaryota; Oomycota; Saprolegniomycetes; Saprolegniales; Verrucalvaceae
Description: large subunit ribosomal RNA
Source: RNAcentral
AUAAAAAAUUUAUAUAAAAUAAAAUAAUUAGUAUGAAUAAGCUAACAUAUUUUACAAUAUUUACACUUUUCACCUAUUUUGUUAUCUUCUUAAACAAUUUUUUGAAAAAAUUUUAAGAUUGGUUUCUUGCUUAGAUGCUUUCAGCAAUUAUCCUUUAUAAAUUUAGCUACUCGGCGAUGCUCCUUUAGAACAACCGAUACACCAGUGAUUUACCCUUUUCGGUCCUCUCGUACUAGAAUUAGAGUCUUGCAUUUUUCUUUUUAUCUAUAGAAGAUAGGAUCCAAACUGUCUCACGACGUUCUAAACCCAACUCACGUACCACUUUAAUCGGCGAACAGCCGAACCCUUGGAACCUUCUUCAGCUCCAGGAUGUGAUGAGUCGACAUCGAGGUGCCAAACGACUCCGUCGAUAGGAGCUCUUAGGAGUCAUCAGCCUGUUAUCCCCGGAGUACCUUUUAUCCGUUGAGCGAUAAUCUUUCCACUAAGAAUUAUCGGAUCACUAUGACCGACUUUCGUCCCUGUUUGAUAUGUCUAUCUUACAGUCAAGCAAGCUUAUACCAUUACAUUCUACAAUUGAUGUUUUGCCAAUUUGAGCUUACCUUUGUACACCUCCGUUACUCUUUGGGAGGUGACCGCCCCAGUCAAACUACCAACCAUACAUGGUUUAUUCUUUUUUAAAGAAUAUUAGUUAUUUAUAAUAAUAAGAGUGGUAUUUCAAAGAAAUCUAAACAAUUCCCUAGCAGGAAGGUCUAAGAUUACCACUUAUUCUACACAUAUUUUAUAAAAUAACAAUAUAAAGAUGUAGUAAAGGUUCACGGGGUCUUUCCGUCUAACUAUAGAAAAUCCGCAUCUUCACGGAUAAUUCAAAUUCACUGAGUUUAUGUUGGAGACAGCGGGGAUGUCGUUACACCAUUCAUGCAGGUCGGAACUUACCCGACAAGGAAUUUCGCUACCUUAGGACCGUCAGAGUUACGGCCGCCGUUUACUGGGACUUUCAUUCAAAGCGCAAACUUUUCCUAUUAAUCUUCCAGCACCGGGCAGGUGUCAGACCCUAUACGUCAUUUUACAAUUUAGCAGAGUCCUGUGUUUUUAUUAAACAGUCGCAACCCCCAAUUUUGUGCCACCUUUUAUAUUUGAUAAUAUAAAAGGUACUCUUUCUCCCGAAGUUACAGAGUCAUUUUGCCGAGUUCCUUCAACAUAAUUAUCUCAUACACCUUGGUCUACUCGACCUAUUCACCUGUGUCGGUUUAGGGUACGGUUUUUUAAUAUAAUACAUUAUUAUUAUAAUUAUUAUAAUUAUUUAAAAAAAAGUUAUUUCUUGAAAAUAUUAUUAAUUUUGUCACUUUUUAUUAGAAAUUGAAUUUUACAAUUUUCCCAUCAUAGUAAGCUUUCGCUUAUUUCUACUUAGGGGCCGUCUAACUCUAUGUAGUUAAUCUUAACAUAGAAACCCUUGAAUUUUCGGUGAUAAUGAUUUUUGUCAUUAUUUUUUGUUACUAAUGCCAGCAUUUUCAAUUCUGAUAUUUUCAAUAUAUUUAACAACAUAUUUUUAACAACAUACAGAAUGUUCCGCUACCGUUAAAAUAUUUUAUAUUUUAACUUGACGCUUCGGUAAAUUUCUUUAGUCCCGAUACAUUUUAGGCGCAAAAAAACUAGACCAAUGAGCUAUUACGCUUUCUUUAAAGGAUGGCUGCUUCCAAGCCUACCUAUUGGUUGUUAUUAUUUUUUCACUUCCUUUAUCACUUAGAAAAUUAUUUAAGGACCUUAGCUUUCAAUCUGGGCUGUUUCCCUUUCGACAAUGGACCUUAGCGCCCAAUGUCUGUCUAUUUAAAUACUUAUUUUUGUAUUCGGAGUUUCUAAAAGUUCAGUAAGAUUUUAAUCCCCCUAGCUUAAUGAGUGCUCUACCCCAAAAAAAGAUUUUUAAAUGCUCUACUUCAAUAGAUUUCGCGGAAAACCAGCUAUCUCUGAGUUUGAUUGGCCUUUCACCCCUAAUCACAAAUCAUCCCCGUAUAUUGCCACAUACGUGAGUUCGAUCCUCCAAAUAGUUUUACCUAUUCUUCAAUCUGUUCAUAAUUAGAUCACUCAGUUUCGGGUCUUAUUUUUAUAACUUUUUAUAAGCUUUUUAAAACUUGAUUUCUCUACGCCUAUUUUUUUUAUAAAUUAAGCUUGCUAAAAAAAUAAACUUGCUGGCCCAUUAUGCAAAAGGUACACUGUUACUUUAUUAAAAAGCUUCAAUUGAUUAUUAGCAUAGAGUUUCAGAAUUAUUUCAAACUCGAAAGCUUUAUUUCACCUUUCCUUUACAGUACUUGUUCACUAUCGGUCAUUAAUUAUUUUAUAGAUUUUGAGGGUGGUCCCCCAAUAUUCAAAAAAGAUUACACAUACCUUUUUUUACUUAUAAAAAAUAAAAUAUAUAAAUAAAUAACUUACAGGACUAUCACCUUUUUACGUAAAUGUUUUAACAUUUUUCAGAUAUUUAUAAAUAUUUUUAUAUAAUUUUUUUAUAAUCUAUUUUCCAUUUUCACUCGUCAUUACUUACGGAAUCUCGUUUGAUUUUUUCAAUAGUUACUAAGAUAUUUCAAUUCACUACGUUUAAAAUUUUCACAAAGAAAAAGUUUUCUUUAGGAAAUCUAUAUAUUAAAAUAUAUAAAUAUUACAUAUAGCUUUUCGUUUUUAUUACGUCCUAAAAAUAUUAAUUAAUGCCUAGGCAUCCCCUCUAUGCUUUUUUUAUGUAACUU